GAUGAACGCUGGCGGUAUGCCUAACACAUGCAAGUCGAACGAAUUCCUUCGGGAAUUAGUGGCGGACGGGUGAGUAACGCGUGAGAAUCUGCCUCCAGAAUGGGGACAACAGUUGGAAACGACUGCUAAUACCCAAUAAGCCGAAAGGUAAAGGAUUUAUCGUCUGGAGAGGAGCUCGCGUCCGAUUAGCUAGUUGGUGGGGUAAGAGCUUACCAAGGCAGCGAUCGGUAGCUGGUCUGAGAGGAUGAGCAGCCACACUGGGACUGAGACACGGCCCAG
RNAcentral lists this ribosomal RNA (279 nucleotides) under uncultured bacterium. RNAcentral describes it as "partial 16S ribosomal RNA". It matches the Rfam family "Bacterial small subunit ribosomal RNA", at positions 28 to 334 of the family's 1533-position model. The record is from RNAcentral.